This is a long non-coding RNA of Mauremys reevesii (Reeves's turtle), 464 nucleotides long. RefSeq lists it as uncharacterized. The transcript has 3 exons. NCBI's taxonomy places the organism in Eukaryota, Metazoa, Chordata, Testudines, Geoemydidae. The record is from RefSeq and is a predicted model, not a curated record.
UAGGCCCUGAAGCCAAGGGAUUGAAGGCAAAGGGGUAUCCUCUUUCAGCACUGAGAGACAAGAGGAAAAGACUCCAGGAGCUGUGGCCUAAGGUUGUGGAUUGAACUGAUGGAGCUGGAUCUUGACCUGUUGAUGGCUUUGCAGAUGAAGAUCAAGGCCUUCAUCUGACAAUGGAAGUGGGGCUGGAGCAAGUGGAGGGAUUUGAGCACAGAGAUGAUGUGUUCACAGCAGCCAGUCCUGCUGAGGAGAACCCUGUGGAAGUCCUACAGAGCAUCUACAGUUACGGCUUAGGAGUUGCCAGUGUACUGCAGAACACUGUGGCCAAAAGGAAAAUUAUCCUAAUGGAAGAUCAGAUUGCUUUGAGAUUCACCAGACAGAAAGGGGCAGGAAAAGGAGUCAAGAUGGUAGCAAAAUAGGUCUGAAAGAAGCAGUUCAGUGGUAGAAGUAGAGGUGAGGGGGAGAGA